Long non-coding RNA from Petromyzon marinus (sea lamprey), 886 nucleotides. RefSeq lists it as uncharacterized. NCBI's taxonomy places the organism in Eukaryota, Metazoa, Chordata, Hyperoartia, Petromyzontiformes, Petromyzontidae. The record is from RefSeq and is a predicted model, not a curated record.
AGGUCGCUUCUGAAAAAGAGCCGCAUAGGUCAAUGGGUCUUACCGGGUAAAAUAAAAUCGUUUAUAGUUUUUUUUAUAGUUUUCCCUUUUCUGUCCCAUCCACUCCCUUGCCCUGUUCAGGUCCCAGACUCAAAACCUUACUUUUUUCAUCAAUCACGUACAAUGGGCUGCCUCGACGUCUAACAGGAUGAUUAUCCCGACUGUUUUGAGCAGUGGACUUGAGGAUCUCACCAUGAGGAAGGGGUACACGAGGCUGACGGCUAGCAGGCUGAGGGAGAUCACCGAUCCGCUCAGCAUGAAGGCUGCAGGACGAGCCUCCUGCGUGAACAGCUCCGCGGCCAAGAUGGCCGUCACUCCACCUGGGGUGGCGCGCACGCGGGUCAGAGGUUCUCGGCUCACCGGAGGAAGUUCUGCAAGGCGACCCAGCGACCCAAGGGGCAAGUGGCGGUGAAGAGUUCGCAGAGCCCCGUGCCGAGGUUCACGUAGGGGACGCUUUCGGCAGCGAUGCCCGCGGCAACAAACACGUACUCGGCGUACGAGUAGAGCUGUGGAUGCACACGAACGCUCACACGUGCCAUCGGUUCAGCGACUACGGUGUGCAGUACGGCAAAUGCGUGUGAUUAAAAGCGGACUCUCACCGCUGUGAGGCCGCUGAGCUGCUGGCCGGCGCUCAGCACCACGAUGGAGGUGAUCUGCCAGCGUACGGAGCGGUCUUGCAGCAGCUUGAGCAGAGACACCGGCCGCCCGGCCACAGCCUGCCUCUCGGCCUCCAUGUCCUGCAGCUCGCUCCUCAGACGAAUCGGUGGACCUCGGAGCGAGUGGGCGGAGGUGACGGCGACAGUCUCACCGGCCAACGCGCCGUGGCGGUCUCCGCGGUCGAUGAGCA